This 494-nucleotide ribosomal RNA is filed under the name uncultured bacterium. RNAcentral's name for it is "partial 16S ribosomal RNA". It matches the Rfam family "Bacterial small subunit ribosomal RNA", at positions 28 to 504 of the family's 1533-position model. The record is from RNAcentral.
GAUGAACGCUGGCGGCGUGCCUAAUACAUGCAAGUCGAGCGAACAGAUGAGGAGCUUGCUCCUCUGACGUUAGCGGCGGACGGGUGAGUAACACGUGGAUAACCUACCUAUAAGACUGGGAUAACUUCGGGAAACCGGAGCUAAUACCGGAUAAUAUAUUGAACCGCAUGGUUCAAUAGUGAAAGACGGUUUUGCUGUCACUUAUAGAUGGAUCCGCGCCGCAUUAGCUAGUUGGUAAGGUAACGGCUUACCAAGGCAACGAUGCGUAGCCGACCUGAGAGGGUGACCGGCCACACUGGAACUGAGACACGGUCCAGACUCCUACGGGAGGCAGCAGUAGGGAAUCUUCCGCAAUGGGCGAAAGCCUGACGGAGCAACGCCGCGUGAGUGAUGAAGGUCUUCGGAUCGUAAAACUCUGUUAUUAGGGAAGAACAAAUGUGUAAGUAACUAUGCACGUCUUGACGGUACCUAAUCAGAAAGCCACGGCUAACUAC